Toxorhynchites rutilus septentrionalis is the source of this 1109-nucleotide long non-coding RNA. RefSeq lists it as uncharacterized. The record is from RefSeq and is a predicted model, not a curated record. The transcript is spliced from 2 exons. NCBI's taxonomy places the organism in Eukaryota, Metazoa, Arthropoda, Insecta, Diptera, Culicidae.
ACGAAGGUUCCGUUUCCACUGACGCUGCGCUUCAACUCAAUUUUGAAAAGGGGCAUAGAACUGGCUCUUUGAUGUAGUCUAUCGUAGCUGUUUGUAGUAACCAUUCUGUAUUUGUAGCCGAGAAUCAAACUCAAUCGAUGCAGGAUCAGAUGUUGGACGCUGCAAUGGCCAUGCCUCGAGUUAAUGUGCAUUGUAAUGUGGUUUAUACCGCAUUUAGAUAGUUCAACAAAUGACUAAAAUUGCAUACAAUAGUUCAAAAAUUACUGUUAUACUGGCUGGUUUUACAUUUGUUUACUAAUGUUAUCGCCUAAUAUGUACGAAUAAAGUGCGCUGCACAUACAACGUCCCGUCACUGUGAAGUCAACGUGAAGGAAUGAAAUGUCAAAUAUUCUCCCAUGGAAAUCGUAUGGUAACAUUCACAUACAUCAUCACCGGAAAUUGUGACGUCGGCAGAAUAAGUCCAAGAGAAUAUUUGACGGGACGAUGACGGUGAUGUUGUAUGUGUAGCGCACUUAAUUCAUAUCGCAAAAAUCAACUAAUCAUUGGUAAUAUUUACCCAAAAAUCGUCAUAUAUACCAAUUUUUCCUAAGAGUGUAUAGUUCAUUGGUCGAAAAUACGGAAUAAUUAAAAAACCAAAUGGUAUCACUGGUAGUCCGCUAAACUGUCAUCUCAAACAAAAACAAAUGGACCAUAUAACUGACUAUGAUGUGAAAACAUCUGGCUUUUCUAUAGCCAUCAAUAGAAACUAGCCGGAAGAUGAUUUCCCCCAUUACCAGUCGCCAAACAACAAGAACAACAGUGCAGAUUUUCACCGUUGUCACAGGAGCCAACAACAUCUGCAAUUCCAAUCAGCAGUAUCCUCCAAACCCAUGCCGGGGACAGCAACAACAGCGGCAACAGCAGAAUCGAAUCCUCGGGCACAAAUGUGUAUCAAGGAAAUAAAAACUAUCAACGCAGGAGGUAUUUAUCAACGAGCUCAGCUGGACUCGAAUCGUCAAUCCGAAAACCCCGGAUUUAAAAAUUUCGCUGUAUUGUGGUUAUUUGUAUAUCUCAAAUACAUAUUGUUUUGUAAUACGUAUUUUUUCGAGUAAUAAAAUGACUAAAAUUGA